This 247-nucleotide unclassified non-coding RNA is filed under the name Ambisporaceae sp. RNAcentral's name for it is "partial contains 5.8S ribosomal RNA and internal transcribed spacer 2". The stretch from base 1 to 71 matches the Rfam family "5.8S ribosomal RNA", at positions 84 to 154 of the family's 154-position model. The record is from RNAcentral. Lineage: Eukaryota; Fungi; Glomeromycota; Glomeromycetes; Archaeosporales; Ambisporaceae.
GUGAAUCAUCGAAUUUUUGAACGCAUAUUGCACUCUCUGGUAUUCCGGAGAGUAUGCCUGUUUGAGGGUCAUUAGAAAGAAUCUUUACCAAGUUUUUUGGUCAAAGGGGAUGAUUUCUCCGCGUUUAUAGCGGUAGCUUGAAGUAAAUGGUCAAGUCUCAUUUUAGUCGAGACGCGUAAUAAUAUUAUUUAACGGAAUCUUUAUUCUGUUACUAUCAAGUUUUCAUGCUUACCGUUUUGGUUUGUGU